AGAAUCAACGCUGGCGGCGUGCCUAACACAUGCAAGUCGAACGAGAAAGUGGAGCAAUCCAUGAGUAAAGUGGCGACCGGGUGAGUAACACGUGACUAACCUACCUUCGAGUGGGGGAUAACCUCGGGAAACUGAGGCUAAUACCGCAUAACAUCGCAAGAUCAAAGCAGCAAUGCGCUGGAAGAGGGGGUCGCGGCUGAUUAGCUAGUUGGCGGGUAACGGCCCACCAAGGCGAAGAUCGGUA
This 244-nucleotide ribosomal RNA is filed under the name uncultured bacterium. Its description in RNAcentral is "partial small subunit ribosomal RNA". It matches the Rfam family "Bacterial small subunit ribosomal RNA", at positions 26 to 285 of the family's 1533-position model. The record is from RNAcentral.